This 253-nucleotide ribosomal RNA is filed under the name uncultured bacterium. RNAcentral's name for it is "partial 16S ribosomal RNA". It matches the Rfam family "Bacterial small subunit ribosomal RNA", at positions 524 to 776 of the family's 1533-position model. The record is from RNAcentral.
UACGUAGGGGGCGAGCGUUGUCCGGAUUUAUUGGGCGUAAAGAGCGUGUAGGCGGCCACGCAGGUCCGUUGUGAAAACUGGAGGCUCAACCUUCAGACGUCGACGGAAACCGUCUGGCUAGAGUCCGGAAGAGGAGAGUGGAAUUCCUGGUGUAGCGGUGAAAUGCGCAGAUAUCAGGAAGAACACCUAUGGCGAAGGCAGCUCUCUGGGACGGUACUGACGCUGAGACGCGAAAGCGUGGGGAGCGAACAGG